CUUACUAGGAAAAAUUUCCAUGUUGAAUCCACUAGAUGUGUACUUUGUGAUGAUGAACCUAAAGAAUAUCCAUCUCAUCUGUUCUUUAGUUGUGAUUUCAGCCAAAAUUUCUGGAUGGCCAUUGGUUUUCAGUGGAAUACUAACUAUGGGCUUUUGGACUUACUCAUGGAGGGCAAGAAACUCAACCAAGUGGUAUCCUACAAGGAAUGUCUAAUUGCGGGAUGUUGGAGUAUCUCGAAGCAUAGAAAUAGUAUCAUCUUUGAUCACAAACCCAAAAAUAUAUAGUACUGCAUCAGUACCUUCAAGGAGCAUUUUGAGAUGAUAAUCAAAAAAGCCAAGCCUAGUUUGAAGGAAGGAAUGCAAAGUUGGUUAGAUUACUUGUAG
This 384-nucleotide ribosomal RNA is filed under the name Triticum aestivum (bread wheat). Its description in RNAcentral is "partial small subunit ribosomal RNA". Lineage: Eukaryota; Viridiplantae; Streptophyta; Magnoliopsida; Poales; Poaceae. The record is from RNAcentral.